AAUAGUUUUUUAAAUGGAAACUGGAAUGAAAGAAGUGAUGAAAUUUAUACUGUCUUAGAUAGAAUUAUUGAAUUUAUUAAUUAAGUAAUAAGACUUAGAUAGAUACAUGGGACGAGAAGACCCUAUAGAAUUUUAUAUAAAUUGAGAAAAAAUUUUAGUUAGAGGAUUAAUUAAUUUAUAUUUAGUUGGGAGGAGGAUUAAAUUAGAAAAACUUUAAAAAAUUGAAAUCAUAAAUUUAUGAAAUUAAUAAUAAGAAUGAUUUUAAAAUUAAAAUAGAAUUAAUUACCUUAGGGAUAACAGCGUUAUAUUUUUAGAGAGAUCUUAUUAAUAAAAAUGAUUGC
This 341-nucleotide ribosomal RNA is filed under the name Pheidole astur. RNAcentral's name for it is "partial 16S large subunit ribosomal RNA". Lineage: Eukaryota; Metazoa; Arthropoda; Insecta; Hymenoptera; Formicidae. The record is from RNAcentral.